UACGGAGGGUGCAAGCGUUAUCCGGAUUCACUGGGUUUAAAGGGUGCGUAGGUGGGUUGGGAAGUCCGUGGUGAAAUCCCCGAGCUUAACUCGGGAACUGCCGUUGAUACUAUCUAUCUUGAAUAUCGUGGAGGUAAGCGGAAUAUGUCAUGUGGCGGUGAAAUGCUUAGAUAUGACAUAGAACACCCAUUGCGAAGGCAGCUUACUACACGAUCAUUGACACUGAGGCACGAAAGCGUGGGGAGCAAACAGG
RNAcentral lists this ribosomal RNA (253 nucleotides) under uncultured bacterium. RNAcentral's name for it is "partial 16S ribosomal RNA". It matches the Rfam family "Bacterial small subunit ribosomal RNA", at positions 524 to 776 of the family's 1533-position model. The record is from RNAcentral.